UAUCAAAAACACUAACCUCACAUUAUAAUACCAUACAAUGGCUUCAGGGCUGAAAGUACUGAGCUCUGGCAAUUCUAUUCUGUGGCAGGUGAAGGAAUGCACGUCAGCCUUGCUGCGUUUUGUGAAGAGGCCUCAUUUGAGCGAGCAAAAAAAUGGGUGCUAGAACUGAAAUGACAAGGGCUGUAAGACAUCAUUUUGCUCUUUGUGCUGGCUUGCUGUAAGAAAAUGGAUCCUUAUUUACUGGCUAUCAUUUUC
Long non-coding RNA from Rosa rugosa (rugosa rose), 255 nucleotides. RefSeq lists it as uncharacterized. Lineage: Eukaryota; Viridiplantae; Streptophyta; Magnoliopsida; Rosales; Rosaceae. The record is from RefSeq and is a predicted model, not a curated record. The transcript has 3 exons.